Molecule: ribosomal RNA, 119 nt
Filed under: Lepisosteus oculatus (spotted gar)
Lineage: Eukaryota; Metazoa; Chordata; Actinopteri; Semionotiformes; Lepisosteidae
Source: RNAcentral
UCCAGCAGCCAUAUCACUCUUCUGCUCACAGCUGGCAGCCCCCUGGAGCUCCGCAGGUGUGAGCCUGGUCAUUACCUGGUUGGGAGACCUCCUGGGAAAAACUAAGGUUGCUGCUGGAA